GAUGAACGCUAGCGGGAGGCCUAAUACAUGCAAGUUGAACGGUAAGGUCCCUUCGGGGAUACACGAGUGGCGGACGGGUGCGUAACGCGUACGAAACAUACCUUCAACAGGGAGAUACCUCCGGGAAACUGGAAAUAAUACCCCAUAGUAUUGAGAUAUCGCAUGAUAUUUCAAUUAAAGCUUUGGCGGUUGAAGAUUGUCGUGCGUCUGAUUAGCUAGUUGGUGAGGUAACGGCUCACCAAGGCGACGAUCAGUAGCUGGUCUGAGAGGAUGAUCAGCCACACUGGAACUGAGACACGGUCCAGACUCCUACGGGAGGCAGCAGUAGGGAAUAUUGGACAAUGGCGGGAAG
RNAcentral lists this ribosomal RNA (352 nucleotides) under uncultured bacterium. Its description in RNAcentral is "bacterial SSU rRNA". It matches the Rfam family "Bacterial small subunit ribosomal RNA", at positions 28 to 381 of the family's 1533-position model. The record is from RNAcentral.